UACGGGGGGGGCAAGCGUUGUUCGGAAUUACUGGGCGUAAAGGGUUCGUAGGUGGCCCGCUAAGUCACACGUGAAAUCCCUCAGCUUAACUGGGGAACUGCGUGUGAGACUGGCGGGCUUGAGUGCAGGAGAGGAACGCGGAAUUCCAGGUGUAGCGGUGAAAUGCUUAGAUAUCGGCAAGAACACCUAUAGCGAAGGCAGCUUACUAGGCUGUAACUGACGCUGAGGCACGAAAGUGUGGGGAUCAAACAGG
RNAcentral lists this ribosomal RNA (253 nucleotides) under uncultured bacterium. RNAcentral describes it as "partial 16S ribosomal RNA". It matches the Rfam family "Bacterial small subunit ribosomal RNA", at positions 524 to 776 of the family's 1533-position model. The record is from RNAcentral.